ACGUGGCCACCUACAACCUGGAGAGCACCAGGGAGCAGAAGAAGAAAUACGUGUUCCAGCUGUGCCACCAGACGUACAAACCCUUUGUGUUCGCUGCUGAAACCCUGGCUGACCUGAGCAUGUGGGUCAGUCACCUGGUGACAGCCAAGACAAAGCACACGCUGGCCCAGCAGGCAAUGCCAGACAAGGAGGAAGACUGCUACAGUGAGACAGAAGCUGAGGACCCCGACGAUGAGGCCCCCAGGCACGGAUCUGACCCGGCAAGGAAGAGGCUGCAGAACAGCCAGGAGAAGGCACAGCUGUCCCCAGGCAGCAGCCCCCAGGGCAGCCCCCGGCCCUGC
Molecule: non-coding RNA, 341 nt
Organism: Zonotrichia albicollis (white-throated sparrow)
Lineage: Eukaryota; Metazoa; Chordata; Aves; Passeriformes; Passerellidae
Source: RefSeq, a predicted model, not a curated record